AGGACGAACGCUGGCGGCGUGCUUAACACAUGCAAGUCGAACGGUGAUCCACCUUCGGGUGGUGAUCAGUGGCGAACGGGUGAGUAACACGUGGGCAACCUGCCCCUAGCACUGGGAUAACCCCGGGAAACCGGGGCUAAUACCGGAUAUGACCUCGAGUGGCAUCGCUCGUGGUGGAAAGAUUUAUCAGCUAGGGAUGGGCCCGCGGCCUAUCAGCUUGUUGGUGGGGUAACGCCCACCAAGGCGACGACGGGUAGCCGGCCUGAGAGGGCGACCGGCCACACUGGGACUGAGACACGGCCCAGACUCCUACGGGAGGCAGCAGUGGGGAAUAUUGCGCAAUGGGCGAAAGCCUGACGCAGCGACGCCGCGUGAGGGACGAAGGCCUUCGGGUCGUAAACCUCUUUCAGCAGGAGAAGCGAAGUGACGGUACCUGCAGAAGAAGCACCGGCUAACUACGUGCCAGCAGCCGC
RNAcentral lists this ribosomal RNA (473 nucleotides) under uncultured bacterium. RNAcentral's name for it is "SSU rRNA". It matches the Rfam family "Bacterial small subunit ribosomal RNA", at positions 26 to 518 of the family's 1533-position model. The record is from RNAcentral.